UACAGAGGUCUCGAGCGUUAGGCGGAAUCACUGGGCUUAAAGCGUGUGUAGGCGGAUCGGUAAGUACCUUGUGAAAUCCCACAGCUUAACUGUGGAACUGCUUGGUAUACUGCCAGUCUUGAGCCACUUAGGGGCUACCGGAACAAAUGGUGGAGCGGUGAAAUGCGUAGAUAUCAGGAAGAACACCUAUGGCGAAGGCAGCUCUCUGGGACGGUACUGACGCUGAGACGCGAAAGCGUGGGGAGCGAACAGG
This 253-nucleotide ribosomal RNA is filed under the name uncultured bacterium. RNAcentral describes it as "partial 16S ribosomal RNA". It matches the Rfam family "Bacterial small subunit ribosomal RNA", at positions 524 to 776 of the family's 1533-position model. The record is from RNAcentral.